GAACAACGGAGAUAUGGUGUUUUCAGACAAGGGAAUAAAUUCCCGGAAGCAAGUGGCCAAGGAAUGAAAAUCCUGGAGAACAAAGUGGAAUAAACCCGUAUUCAACGGUUCCUGUUGAUUUUCUUUCCUCCCUAAACACUGACCUCCUGCAGUCUUCACCAGCAGUAACUCCACAAUCACAGCUGCUGGAGGAAUUCACCUCCAUGUCAUCACGAUCCCCCAGAAGCAUUUGCUUCCCAUUCUUGCCUUGAAAGAUGUGAAUCGUAAACACCGGUUUCUGUAGGCACCACUGAUUUCCUGAUUUAGUUUUGAUCAACCUCUGGAGGAGGAAAUGCAUUCAGCAUCAUAUUAUACAUGGAAAAAGAAGAAAUCUGGAUAUAGACACAGACGUACACACAUGCACACAUAUGGAGAAAACUGUGUGAAGAUGAUGGCAGAGCCAGAAGGAUGCCUCUACAAGACAACGGACACCAGAGAUUGCCAGCAACCACCAGAAGCUGGGGGGGCCAGGAGCUGGUGCUCCCUCCAAGCCUCAGGAGGGACCAGCCCUGCCCACACCUUGAUGCUGGACCUCCAGCUGAGAGAGUACAUUCCUGUAGGAAGAACAAGGACUUGGAAGUCAAAUAAGCUUAGAGCAAUUCUGCCUAACUGUGGGACUUUGAGUAAAAUUUCUUGGCUUCUUGGGACCUCAGUUUGUAAAUUGGGCGUGUCAUCCUUCCCUCAUAGGUCAUCAAGAGGAAAUGCACUGUCCUGCACAAGCAUGGCGCCCAAGGCUUGGCACUUGGGGGGCCACUCAUGGGAGCCCACUUUCGUGACCCCUCUUCCUACUGGGAAGAGUAGGGGAACCAUGGGAGGCAGGUCCUGCUAUCUGUUGAGCAGCACCUUCCAACCCUGA
RNAcentral lists this long non-coding RNA (895 nucleotides) under Papio anubis (olive baboon). Its description in RNAcentral is "lncRNA (ENSPANG00000039322.1)". Lineage: Eukaryota; Metazoa; Chordata; Mammalia; Primates; Cercopithecidae. The record is from RNAcentral.